UCAGCUGUCUCCUCCGGAGGGGGCGGGGGCAGGAGGGGCAACAGCCGCCAGCGCAGGCCUGUGUCCCUAGAGGUGCGUGGGGUUCUCCAGAGAAGGGUCCGUCUUAGUCAUGUGCAAGACCACGGUGGGGGCCUUGUAGUGGCAGUGGGUGCCACGGCCAUAGCCCCCGGAAGCCCGGCAGGCCUUUGCCCGGGCCCGGCCGGCUGCCAUCUUGCGGUGGCACAAGCUCUGCCAGGUCUGGAAAGUCUUGGAGCUCCAAACCCAGACGCCGCUGGUGAUCCCCACCACCAGCGACAUGAAGAUCUUAAGCAUAAAGACGGCCACGGUGGGCACCGAGCCCCCCGGGAGCGAGCAGUCCCUCCGGCCCCCGGGCACCGUGGCUGCCAGGCAGGGCUGCUCUGUGGCCCGAAGGCGCCAGAAGUCCAUGUUGAGGCGUUCAUAGACGUAGCACACAAUGACGCAGGUGGCAGGCACCGUGUAGAGGAUGGAGAAGACCCCGAUCUUGACCAUGAGCUUCUCCAGCUUCUCCGUGUUGGUGCCACCUGUCUUCAUGAUCUUGCGGAUGUGGAAGAGGGCCACGAAGCCGGUCAGGAGGAAGCUGGUGCCCAGCACCAGGUAGCAGGAGAGGGGCACCAGCACGAAGCCCGUGAGCGCGGCCGCAUCCAUGCUGGCCACAUAGCACAGCCCGGUCAGCUCGUCCCCCGCCACCUUGCGCAGCGUCAGGAUCACGAUGGUCUUGAGGGCCGGCAGGCCCCAGGCCGCCAUGUGGAAGUAGCUGCCGUGGGCCUCUAUGGCCUCGUGGCCCCACUUCUUGCCCGCCGCCAGGAACCAGGUGAGGGUCAGCACCACCCACCACAGCGAGCUGGCCAUGCCGAAGUAGUAGAGCAACAGGAAGACCAGGGUGCAGCCCGUGUUCUCCAGCCCCUCCUGGAUCACGUAGAGCGCGCCCGCCUCCUGGUCGCAGGCCACGCUCUGGGCGCCCGCCACGGCGCGGAUGAGGAAGGCCAGCGAGUAGACGUUGUAGCACAUGGACAGGAAGAUGAUGGGGCGCUCGGGGUACUGGAAGCGGUGGGGCUCCAGCAGGAAGGUGAGCACUGUGAAGGCCGUGGAGAAGAAGCACAGCGCCGACCACACGGCCAUCCAGACGAGCGCGAAGUCCUUGUCGCGCCGCGACCAGAACACCUCGACGCCGGGCCCGCAGCGCGGCGCGCACGAGCGGCUCUUCUCCACGUACUGGAACUUCUCUGGGUUCUCGCAGGUGCCGCCCCCGCCGCCGCCGCCCGGGCCCGAGGCAGGGUCGCCGGGCGGCCGCGCGGGCCGGGGCGCCACGGGCAGCAUGCCCAGGCCCUUGUGCGGCUCGGCGGGGCCGGCCGUGGCGUUCUCGGGCGCCUCCAUGCAGAGCGCGUGCGGGUCGUUGCGCGUGGGCAGCCGGGCGCAGUCGAGCGACUCGGGCCAGCCGAAGUUGAACUGCUCCAUGAUGGGCGCGCAGCGCAGGCGCGCCUGCUCGCACAUGGGCCGGCAGGCGGGGAUGGGCGUCGAGACCUGGUCGGUGCACAUGGGCGCGUACAGCGAGCACAGGAAGAAGCGCAGGUGGCUGUGGCAGCCGUACUGCACGAGCGGCGCGAACUCGGCCAGCUCCGCGGCCGCCUCACCCUGCGACGUGUGGCCCAGCAGGUUGGGCAUGCGGGUCAGGUUGUAGCCGAUGCCGCGGCACAUGGGGAUCUCCACCGCCUGGCAGGGCGCCGGCCCGCGCCCGCGCUCCGGGUCGAAACGGCCGAUCUCCAGCGCCGCGCCGCCCGCCGCCAGCAGCUGCCACAGCAGCAGCGCCCGGCGCAGCGGCGGCACGGCCAUCCCGGGCGGCCCCGGCCGGGGGCGGGGGCGGCGGCGGCGGCGGCGGCGGCGGCGGCGGCGGCGGCGGGGGGGCGGCUCACUCGGGCCGCGCCGUCCGGCGCCCCCGUGCCCGCCCGCCACGUCGCGGGGCGCGGGCCAUCGCCGAGCCGCCCGCGUGCGUCCGGGCGCCCCGGCAGCGCGCAGGGAAGCCGCCCGGGGCAGAGGAGGCGCCGAGCCCGCCGAGCCGCCACCACCGCUGCCACCCGAGCGGCCGCGGAGCCAGAGCGGGCGCCGCCUCCCGGGGCCGCCGCUACAAGCCUCGGGGCGGGGCGCUGGGCGGACACGCCCAGGGGCGGCCCCUCCGCGCGCCGGGCGCGCCCCCCGCCGGCCUUUAAAGGCGCCGCGUCUCCCCGCCGCGCCGCGCCGCGCCGCGGCCCCCGCGUGGGCGCGAUCGUGCGGCGCGGGGCGCGGGUGCGCUCGGUGCUGCCCCGCUCUCCCCGACGGGACAGCGGGAGGUUUCCCUGCCCUCCCUCCCGGGUCGCCCCUUUUGCCCCAGGCGCAGACCAUCUCCGAGGCCUCCACGCGGUGGGAAGCCUCGGCUUUGUACCCAGGGACAGUGCAGGUUGCAGCCAGCGACUUCGCCAGUUGUGUGUGUCUUUGGGCUCUUUCUCCGCAGCCUCCUUUUCUGCAAAACAGGCAAAUAAUCCCGUGAAACAAGCAACUCAUUUGUUGUAUGAGUUUGGCUUUCCCGUCCACACUGCACGCAUGACUUUCUCCGCAAUCCAGGUGGGGAACCCGGGCCUCGAACUCACAGCCCCGAGGUCAAGGGUCUCUUGCUUGAUGGACUGA
RNAcentral lists this long non-coding RNA (2679 nucleotides) under Canis lupus familiaris (dog). RNAcentral describes it as "lncRNA (ENSCAFG00030011573.1)". Lineage: Eukaryota; Metazoa; Chordata; Mammalia; Carnivora; Canidae. The record is from RNAcentral.